Molecule: transfer RNA, 69 nt
Filed under: Lycodes esmarkii (greater eelpout)
Lineage: Eukaryota; Metazoa; Chordata; Actinopteri; Perciformes; Zoarcidae
Description: tRNA-Cys
Source: RNAcentral
AGCCCUAAGGUGUUUUUCCACAUGUAAGAUUGCAAAUCUUAAGAGGCAGACUAAUCCCUGCUAGGGCUU